AUCAAUAAGCGGAGGAAAAGAAAAUAACAAUGAUUUCCCUAGUAACGGCGAGUGAAGAGGAAAGAGCUCAAAGUUGGAACCUGUUUGACUUAGUUGAACCGGAUUGUAAACUAUAGAAACGUUUUCCAGGCAGGCCUAGUCGAUAAGUCCUUUGGAAUAGGGCACCAGAGAGGGUGAGAGUCCCGUAUUUGACUGGAGUACAUGUCUUUAUGUGAUACGUUUUCAACGAGUCAGGUUGUUUGGGAAUGCAGCCUAAAUUGGGUGGUAAAUCUCACCUAAAGCUAAAUAUUGGCGAGAGACCGAUAGCGAACAAGUACCGUGAGGGAAAGAUGAAAAGAACUUUGAAAAGAGAGUUAAACAGUAUGUGAAAUUGUUAAAAGGGAACCGUUUGGAGCCAGACUGGCUGGAUUGUAAUCAUUCUGGGUUUCGACCUUGAUGCACUUGCAGUUUAUGCCUGCCAAUGGCAAUUUUUCUUGGAGGAUAAAGCCUGUGGAAAGGUAGGAUACUUGUAUCUGUUUAUAGUCCAUGGGAAAUACUCUGAGAGGGAUUGAGGAUCGCAGGGGCAUCUUAAAUCGUAUGGGUAAUUUUUUACUUGUAAGAAUAGGUGUCUUUUUAGGUCGUUGGCUUAAUGACUCUAAAUGAC
RNAcentral lists this ribosomal RNA (643 nucleotides) under Utharomyces epallocaulus. Its description in RNAcentral is "eukaryotic LSU rRNA". It matches the Rfam family "Eukaryotic large subunit ribosomal RNA", at positions 42 to 648 of the family's 3401-position model. Lineage: Eukaryota; Fungi; Mucoromycota; Mucoromycetes; Mucorales; Pilobolaceae. The record is from RNAcentral.